AGUAGACCCAGCAGAUCAAGAAGACACAACACAACCAAAAAAGGAUGUUUCGGCUGUUGCUGCCAUGGACAUUUUUAGAACAUAUAAAACCUGUUAUUGUGAAUUUGCUCAAGGCUGUGUCUAAUUCCCACUGAAGUUCAGCCAACACUGAGCGUGACAGCAUGGCUGCAACCCGAGCUGUUCUCUGAAGAUCACCAGACUCCUCUCGCUCACAUGGCAGCUGGCAAACAUCUCUCCUGGCUUUUCCAGUGCUCCUGCCACCCCUCUCUGGCUUGUCUGACUCCCUGCUUUCCCAGUCUUCCCUCACAGAUUGAUGAAGCAGUGGUGAGGUGGGAUGGCUGGCAGCAUUUUGAGACAAAAAUGCUGUCUCAUCUCCUGCUGUGAGGAUGUGGGGACCUCAGGAGGUGCUGUGGCAGCUCAGGCCUCAGCCUGGAUCUGUGACCACCUUCCAGGGGUCUGAGUUUUGCAGAGCCUCAUGAAACCCAGAUUUUUUUUUUACUCUUUUUCUCCGUCAGACUCAGGCUUCCAGUUCUUGAGAUCCUUCUCUUCCACACACUGCUCUGAGAGGGGGCAUGAGGAUGGAUUUUAAAAAUGAGAGAGUUAAUAAACUUUUCUGUAAAA
Molecule: long non-coding RNA, 621 nt
Organism: Manacus vitellinus (golden-collared manakin)
Lineage: Eukaryota; Metazoa; Chordata; Aves; Passeriformes; Pipridae
Exons: 2
Source: RefSeq, a predicted model, not a curated record